Molecule: ribosomal RNA, 554 nt
Filed under: uncultured bacterium
Lineage: Bacteria
Description: bacterial SSU rRNA
Rfam family: Bacterial small subunit ribosomal RNA
Source: RNAcentral
GCAGUCGAGCGGCAGCGCGGGGCACCUGGCGGCGAGCGGCGAACGGGUGAGUAAUGCAUCGGAACAUGUCCAUGUGUGGGGGAUAGCCCGGCGAAAGCCGGAUUAAUACCGCAUACGCCCGAGAGGGGAAAGCCGGGGACCGCAAGGCCUGGCGCGAUUGGGUUGGCCGAUGUCCGAUUAGCUAGUUGGCGGGGUAAAGGCCCACCAAGGCGAUGAUCGGUAGCUGGUCUGAGAGGAUGAUCAGCCACACUGGGACUGAGACACGGCCCAGACUCCUACGGGAGGCAGCAGUGGGGAAUUUUGGACAAUGGGGGAAACCCUGAUCCAGCCAUUCCGCGUGAGUGAAGAAGGCCUUCGGGUUGUAAAGCUCUUUUGUCCGGAGCGAAACGGAUGACGUGAAUAUCGUCGUCUACUGACGGUACCGGAAGAAUAAGCACCGGCUAACUACGUGCCAGCAGCCGCGGUAAUACGUAGGGUGCGAGCGUUAAUCGGAAUUACUGGGCGUAAAGCGUGCGCACGCGGUUUUGUAAGCCAGAUGUGAAAGCCCCGGGCUC